GAAACUGAAGGUAUAAAAGUGGGACCUGGGGUUGGUGCUCUAACAGUCGACCCGGUCAGAAGCUUAGUAUUCAUCAGGAUUUAUACAAUUGAAUUAAAUUGGAGGGUCUGAGUCUACACCUGUACAAGAACCUCCUCAAGUCUCCAGUAUUGUUUAUCCGGAUUCAUUAAAUUGAAUAAAAUGGGAGCGUUCUUUUCCAAACAGGAGCCUUCUCCUCCUCCGU
Long non-coding RNA from Neoarius graeffei (lesser salmon catfish), 223 nucleotides. RefSeq lists it as uncharacterized. The transcript is spliced from 3 exons. The record is from RefSeq and is a predicted model, not a curated record. Lineage: Eukaryota; Metazoa; Chordata; Actinopteri; Siluriformes; Ariidae.